CCUACGGGGGGCAGCAGUGGGGGAUAUUGCACAAUGGGGGAAACUCUGAUGCAGCGACGCCGCGUGAGUGAAGAAGGAAUUCUUUAUGUAAAGCUCUAUCAGCAGGGAAGAAAAAGACGGUACCUGAGUAAGAAGCCCCGGCUAAGAACGUGCCAGCAGCCGCGGUAAUACGUAGGGGGCAAGCGUUAUCCGGAUUUACGGGGUGUAAAGGGAGCGUAAGCGGCUGUGCAAGUCUGGAGUGAAAGGCAGCGGCUCAACCCCCGAACUGCUCUGGAAACUGUACGGCUUGAGUGCAGGAGAGGUAAGUGGAAUUCCUAGUGUAGCGGUGAAAUGCGUAGAUAUUAGGAGGAACACCUGUGGCGAAGGCGGCUUACUGGUCUGUAACUGACGUUGAGGCUCGAAAGCGUGGGGAGCAAACAGGAUUAGAUACCCUAGUAGUC
This 440-nucleotide ribosomal RNA is filed under the name uncultured bacterium. RNAcentral's name for it is "partial 16S ribosomal RNA". It matches the Rfam family "Bacterial small subunit ribosomal RNA", at positions 338 to 795 of the family's 1533-position model. The record is from RNAcentral.